This 947-nucleotide long non-coding RNA is filed under the name Mus musculus (house mouse). RNAcentral describes it as "small nucleolar RNA host gene 5". Lineage: Eukaryota; Metazoa; Chordata; Mammalia; Rodentia; Muridae. The record is from RNAcentral.
GUUCUUUUACGACGGAGCCUAAGAUAUUCUUUGUCUUGUCGGUGAGUGAGUUACAGUCGGAUGACCAAGUGAAAUAUAGGGGUGCAACGAGGAUUUGGAGGCUUCUGAGACUUGAACUUAGGGUACUGGUGUAAACUUCCUCGGAGAAGUGCGCAGCAGCUAAUGAUAUUUCGGGAUUGGAGUCUGGGCCCCAGUGAGAUUCGUACUAAGCGGCCUGACUGAAGGCCGCAUGCGUUCUAGUUCCUGAGUCCCCGCGUGGGUAGGUUUUUACAGCAGGGUUUGCAGCCUUUUGUGCUGUUCCGAAGGUACUAGAGUCACCGAAAGAGACAUCCUAUUAUAUGCACGUUCACAAGGACAAUGGCGCCAUUGUUCUUCGCGUCUUCAAAGCAGCUACAAGAAGAAACCAAGAUGGAGGGGAGCCCAAAGCAUCUGAGAGAAUUGAUAAAUGAAAGAAACAUGCUUAAAACAUGACCGUUUUAAAGGGGCCAGUGACACAAGAACUUGCGAGAGAUGCCAGUCCGCCUGUGAAGAUCCUGCAGCAGGAGUGCAUAGCCAGUGACACAAGACGUGCGAAUGAAAACUAGAUGUGACCAUCCAGAAAAAGCAUAGACAAAAAAAUGCAGUCUUAGUACUGGGAUGUUUGAGAUGGGGUCUAUCUACAUGUCUCUAGCUGUCCCUAUCAGGACAGCAUCUGGUGUGGCCUGCAGAGUUGAUUCCUGUACUUUUUUUUUUUUGUGGGCUGUAUGUAAAUGGAUUGUUUUGACAAUCCAUUCGACAGUGUUCUCUUCUGUGAAGGUCAUAGGUGAGCUGAUUGACAGACACAGCUGUACAGACUGAAUGCAAUCCUGACUAUAAAGCUGCAGUUCAUCAUUAUGAGCUAUUUCCUUAUUCUGGCAGUGAUUGAAAUAAAAUGGGGAGUAUUGAAAUAAAAAACAUUCAAUUGCAAA